GUCUGUGUAAUAACAGGUUUAUGAAAGGCCGAACAUAGCUGUGAAUUUUUAUAACAAAUGGACUAAACCGAUUUUAAAUAAAAAUUCAUCACGUACACAUUUACUGUAUUACAGUACUUUAUUAAUAAGAUUCCCAUACUCCAAGUCAGAGUAACAAAAAUACAAGCAGAGUUAUCAUUACAGUAAGAGACUUUGGAAAGUUCAGAAUUCUGCAGAAAAAUUAGAUAAGUCAUAUUUGCACACUGGAUCAUGAAGUAAAACCUCAGUGUAUACAGUGAUAAAUGAUAGAGGCACAAGAUACUUCUAGUGAUUAGUUAGCUACAGGGAGAAAUUGGACCUACAGUAACUCUGGCCAUUACAAUUCAGCCAGUCAAUCCCAGAGAAACAUACUGUCCCCCAAUACUGGAAAAGUAUACAAUUUCAUGAUAUGGAAGUAUUUUAAAUAGAUGAUGCAGUUUUAACUGAUGCUUUCUAAAGAAAGGACAUCCCAGGAACUAACUUCAUUACUAAAGUCAUCUGAACUUGCCAGUUAGCUUACUGCACAUGCAAUUAUAGAUUCUAGAGACAUUUAAAAAUCAGUCUUCUGAAUAUUGUAGAUGCCCAAGAAAAGCACAGAACCACAGUUCAGUGCCUUUCAUCUUUCUUUGGUUUAGCUUUUACACCUGACAAUCAGUAAGGCAGACUGUGUACACAAACCUCAAUUAGCAAAAGGCAGAACAUACAUCCUGCAGCAGAGUAACUGUUUCUUCCCCCACUCUUUAAAAGGGAGAAUUAUAAAGGCACAUGGGAAACACAUUCUACAGGACUAUUUCACCCUUCACCUCCCAAACCACAUUCAUGGAUGUCACACCUGCCUUUGUGAAAUUAAAAUAGAUAACCUUCCAUUUAAAAUAAAAAGCUCUGUAUUGUGUCUAUUAUCUCCAAAACAAAAAGAUUUGAAAUAACUUCAUCUGUUAAAAGAAUUGCUGUUAAGCACAACUGCACAUGGAUAUGUAUAUGCAUUUUGGUUGCUACAAAGCACAUGAUGUGUGAUCUAUGAAGCAACACACUUUUCUGUAAGAGUGAGCAGCCUAUAGAAAACAAUCAAGCUGCAGCAGAGUUGCACAUUUGGUAACAAAGGCUAGUCUGAGUAACAAAUGCCAAAGGAAAUCAAGAAGUAAAUACCUUCAGGACCUGCAGACCCUAGGAGAGUAGUCUGCCAGCUGAUCUGAUUAAACAGCAAAAUAGGUAAAUAUUAACUUCAUAAUGAGAAAAUUGUCAUUUUUAUCUCCCCUUCAUAUACCACUUGUCUGACUUCAUAGUUCAGUUAGCUGGCUCCAUGAUGAGCUUUACUUCCUGCCAGUUUAUUCCAUUGUAGGAACAGAUUUUACAUCGAAGGAUUGAAAAUGUUUUGUACUUUGAUUGUAAUCUGAUUUUUGUUAUUAAAUUAAUGAAAUAAACUUAUUUCCAUUAUCAGUUCAGUAAUUAAAGAAUUUGGAUGUGGUCAUUCUGGAUGUAUACAACAUUUGAUGCCUGAAUACCCAGACACAAUUAUCUUUCUAUUUCAAGAAAUGUAGUCUCUGGUUCCCAAAUAUUUAAAUGAACUACGCACUACAUAAAAGGAAAAUGCAGUUUAAAUUCAGGGAGGAUAAAAAUAAAUUCAAGAAGUCAAGAUAAGCCUAUUUAAUUUAAAUCUGAUUUAAAUGGAAAAAUAGUUAUUUUUAAAAAGAAAAAAAAGUGUAUUUAAAAUUAUAUAUAAAGUUAUGACAACCUAUAUUAAAAGCUUAAACUUAAUAGAGUCUAUUAAAAUAACUAAAUUGAAUACAAAUAUUAAAGCAGUACAUAUUUGCUGCCAAAACUUUAAAGAAAGCCAAACCAGUGAAGUUGGUAGAAGUCACUGGCUAAAACAAUAUAUAACCAGUUUGUUGAAGCGCUAAACCAGCUUUGACAGCAGUACAGAAUUACAGGUACAGAGGAAAUUUUUCUUCAUUUUAGUUUGUUCAGCUCAAUGCCUAGUUAUUUCAAAACCGAGACACUGAUUGGGAGUUGGAAAAAACAGGAAAUAUCGUUUUCCUCUUCCAGUUUAUGAAUAAGAACCGCCAUGAGAAUGGCUACACCACUUACUCAACAUCUAAUUCAUUGUUUGUGCCCUCAGAAACCAUACACCAGAAGAACAAAAACCAGGUGAGAGGAUGAGUUCUACUAAUUCUAAAAUCUUGAAGGAGAUUGUCACCAGAAGAACAGUUUAUUUCACUAACUACAGAUAAUACUUCCUUUGUUGAAUAAAUCAUUGUUUUAAAUGCAAAACAGGUACUGAUAGAAAACUUAUGUUUUCUUACGCAUUUAGCACAUUUAAGGUAGUUUCAUUUAACUAAUGAAAAGCAAUUUUAAAUUACCAUUUUUGUGCAUUUUUAAUUGCAUUCCGACUUCCAACCUAAUGCAGUUUGACACAGUCAUGACUAAAAAAUUAAUCUAUUGACUAAAAAAAAAAAUCUAUGAAAUAUGUAAAGCAUCAUUCACCAUUUUCUAACUUAAUAAAAAUGCAAAAAUUAAGACAGAAUACAGUUAUUUUAAGAUACAUAAUUUCUUAAAUAAAUGUGGAUAUCUAUAUCUAUAUCAUGUACCUUUCUGGUGAGUAGAAAGUACCACAUUUAGUGUAAAGGCUAUAUUUAGUUGCAAAUCAACAUUUAAUAGUUAUCAACCAGUGAGACUCAAUUUCUUUAGGAAAGAAAAGUACAAAUGCAAAACAAGAUUAAUCAAAGUUUCCUGCUUGCUGAUUUAAAUUGGUGAUUAAAAUUGCUUUGAUUUAAAUCAAUCUACCCUGAGUACAAGAUAAUGGAAGUUUCCAUGGCACCAAAAACUCUGAUGUCUCUAUUCAAGCGUAAAUCAAGAGAGAACAAACAGGUGCUUAUUAUGUCACCUACUUCUAAACAUCUUUGUUAACAAAAGUUCGGACACAGCUGUCUGUACCCUCCCAUUAAUAAUAUUACAAGAAAAAUCCCAAACACAUGAAGAGGAUUUAAAAGCUGCAACUUGUACUAUGUACAUAUUUAAAUGUAUUAAGCAAAGAUUAGUGUUAUAAAACCAAUCAGCAGGACUUUUAGAAUCUCCAAGUUUUGCUUUCUUUUUAAAGCUUGCCCUUUAUUUGCAAGGUAAUAUUUUCAGCCUCUAGAUAGAAAGUUUUCAACACAGAAUUUUUUUCCAGAUAACAUGGAGCAAUCCAUCAUGAAGCUAGGUAAAACAGCAUAAAAUAGCUACCAUGAACUAGACAAUAUGAAAGUUACUGACAUUGUGCCUCAUUCUAUGGCUUGAUUAAAAUAAGUCGUGUGUGUGUGUAUAUAGAUAAAGUGCUAGUUAAUUUGUCUACUAAAAGUUUAAUACAAAAAUAUGGCUUUCACUCUGAACAGAAUGGCUACAAAGUCCAAGGAACAGCACCAGAACUCUACCGUUCAAAUUCUCAAUGCAAUGAGCAAUUUCCCCUCAAUCAAAA
This is a long non-coding RNA of Dermochelys coriacea (leatherback sea turtle), 3469 nucleotides long. RefSeq lists it as uncharacterized. NCBI's taxonomy places the organism in Eukaryota, Metazoa, Chordata, Testudines, Dermochelyidae. The transcript is spliced from 2 exons. The record is from RefSeq and is a predicted model, not a curated record.